Molecule: ribosomal RNA, 253 nt
Filed under: uncultured bacterium
Lineage: Bacteria
Description: partial 16S ribosomal RNA
Rfam family: Bacterial small subunit ribosomal RNA
Source: RNAcentral
UACGUAGGUGACAAGCGUUGUCCGGAUUUACUGGGCGUAAAGAGCGCGCAGGCGGUCGUUCAAGUCGAGUGUGAAAGCCCCCGGCUCAACUGGGGAGGGUCACUCGAUACUGAUCGACUCGAAGGCAGAAGAGGGAGGCGGAAUUCCCGGUGUAGUGGUGAAAUGCGUAGAUAUCGGGAGGAACACCAGUGGCGAAGGCGGCUUUCUGGUCUGCUCUUGACGCUGAGGCGCGAAAGCUAGGGUAGCAAACGGG